RNAcentral lists this ribosomal RNA (696 nucleotides) under uncultured organism. Its description in RNAcentral is "eukaryotic LSU rRNA". The stretch from base 238 to 391 matches the Rfam family "5.8S ribosomal RNA". The record is from RNAcentral.
UUCCGUAGGUGAACCUGCGGAGGGAUCAUUGAAUAUUAAAACCACAAUGCGAACCUCAACGUUUCGUGCCUUGGCUUGCCAGUGGGGCAUUCGGUAAAACCGUAUGGAGCCCACAGCUGAGCGAGCAAUGCUGCCCGCUCAGUGGCGCCUUGGCAUGCUUAUACACCAGUGCUAACCACUGUUAAAACCAAAUACUGAAUUUGUGAUUGCUAGUAACUGGCAAUCUUAACCAAAGAUAACUCUCAACAACGGAUAUCUUGGCUCUCGCAACGAUGAAGAACGCAGCGAAAUGCGAUACGUAGUGUGAAUUGCAGAAUUCCGUGAACCAUCGAAUCUUUGAACGCAUAUUGCGCUCGAGCCUCCGGGCAAGAGCAUGUCUGCCUCAGCGUCGGUUUACACCCUCACCCCUCCCACUUUGUUGGGUUGCUUGGCAACUUUGCCAGCAUAGGUGGUGGAUCUGGCUUCCCCAAUCUGCCGUCUGGUAGAUUGGGUUGGCUGAAGAGUAGAGGUUUAAGCAAGGACCCGUUAUGGGCUUCAACUGGAUAGGUAGCACCGGCUUGUGCCGACUACACGAAGUUGAUGCUCGUGGAUCUUGCUAGAGGCCAAGCAGGAACGUGCCCAUGGCACGUCUAAACUUUCGACCUGAGCUCAGGCAAGGCUACCCGCUGAACUUAAGCAUAUCAAUAAGCGGAGGAA